Molecule: ribosomal RNA, 460 nt
Filed under: uncultured bacterium
Lineage: Bacteria
Description: partial 16S ribosomal RNA
Rfam family: Bacterial small subunit ribosomal RNA
Source: RNAcentral
CCUACGGGAGGCUGCAGUGAGGAAUAUUGGUCAAUGGGCGAGAGCCUGAACCAGCCAAGUCGCGUGAAGGAUGACGGCCCUACGGGUUGUAAACUUCUUUUGUCAGGGAGCAAUUGGGUCCACGCGUGGGCUUAGCGAGAGUACCUGAAGAAAAAGCAUCGGCUAACUCCGUGCCAGCAGCCGCGGUAAUACGGAGGAUGCGAGCGUUAUCCGGAUUUAUUGGGUUUAAAGGGUGCGUAGGCGGAAUAUCAAGUCAGCGGUAAAAAUUCGGGGCUCAACCCCGUCGUGCCGUUGAAACUGAUGUUCUUGAGUGGGCGAGAAGUAUGCGGAAUGCGUGGUGUAGCGGUGAAAUGCAUAGAUAUCACGCAGAACGCCGAUUGCGAAGGCAGCAUACCGGCGCCCGACUGACGCUGAGGCACGAAAGCGUGGGGAUCGAACAGGAUUAGAUACCCUAGUAGUC